GUUCUGUUUGCUGUUCCGAGUUAUUUGUUAAUAUGGAAUGACAUUAUUAAAAUUGCAUAAGAAAUAGCUAGAAAAUGUGUCAAUUAAUUAUUUCAUAAUGAACGAAAGAGGAAGUUAUACCACAGAGACAUUUGCCACUAGGUAGUUGGUACUAUUCUAUUGAUAUAAUAUGAUAUAGUAAACAUAUCUUCGUAAUUGUUUUUUUUUUUUUUGACAUGACGCACCAUGAUUUUUCAAAAUGUUUUUAAAUGGACACGUAGUUAACAAUUGUGGCUUAUCAAGUAUUUUUUUUUGAUAGUUGUGUCUCCGCGAGAAGUGGCAAAAAAAUGGAGCAGAAAAAAAUAACAUGAUUUUUUUCAUCCAAGUUCAAGGAAAUGAAUGUCUGUAAAAAUAUGUAUUAUGAACCCCAUUUUAUGCUCCUUAAUUCUGAAUUUAUUUGGUUGCUCUCGCUUGCUUGGUUUAGCUGCAAUAACAGUUUAAAAAUUACCUUGAUUUUUUGACAUUUUCGUGGAUAAGUCUGAAACAAAAGAAGAUCGAAGGCUGAUAUUACGCAUACAGUGUUCUUAGGACCUGCCACUACUGCACCUCAAAUUACAACCAAAUCCCUUGCGGGGGCCAAUCUUCUUAGCUUAGCUUGCUAGACCCUUUAAAUAUAAAAAU
Long non-coding RNA from Cydia pomonella (codling moth), 660 nucleotides. RefSeq lists it as uncharacterized. The record is from RefSeq and is a predicted model, not a curated record. Lineage: Eukaryota; Metazoa; Arthropoda; Insecta; Lepidoptera; Tortricidae. The transcript has 2 exons.